GAUGAAGAACGCAGCGAAAUGCGAUAAGUAGUGUGAAUUGCAGAACUCCGUGAAUCAUCGAAUCUUUGAACGCACAUUGCGCCUCCUGGUAGUCCGGGAGGCAUGCCUGUUCGAGCGUCACCAAAUCCAACUCAAGCGGUUUUGCGCUUGGUCGUGGCGGAAGAGUCGGUCUGGUUGCCGUCUCCCCUCCGAAAAUCAACGGCGGAAAGUCACUGGCAGUCAGCGUAGUAGUAUCGUUCGCCGAACAUCCAGUGGCAUUCCUGCCGACGUACCCCCACAAUUCUCGUGAUUGACCUCGGAUCAGGUAGGGAUACCCGCUGAACUUAAGCAUAUCAAUAAGCGGAGGA
RNAcentral lists this unclassified non-coding RNA (347 nucleotides) under soil metagenome. RNAcentral describes it as "partial contains 5.8S ribosomal RNA, internal transcribed spacer 2, and large subunit ribosomal RNA". The stretch from base 1 to 120 matches the Rfam family "5.8S ribosomal RNA", at positions 35 to 154 of the family's 154-position model. The record is from RNAcentral.